Molecule: long non-coding RNA, 546 nt
Organism: Pollicipes pollicipes
Lineage: Eukaryota; Metazoa; Arthropoda; Thecostraca; Pollicipedomorpha; Pollicipedidae
Exons: 2
Source: RefSeq, a predicted model, not a curated record
AGCCCACCAACUCGGUCCUCUACGGCGGUCCGGACGGCGAGGACUGCGCCGAGCUCAGGGUGGUGUUCGGUUUCGGUGAGUGGAACGACAUCGACUGCGAGAGGGUGAAGCGGCCGUUCGUCUGCAAGGCACCUGCGUACGCUCAUACGUCACGCUCGUGAAGGCCAGCUGAGCCCCCCUGCUGCGUCAGCCCCCAGCCUGCGGGCAGCCAAUCAGCGGCGAGUUCAGCCGUGGGUGGCGUGCUGCCACUGGUCCAUCAGAAGAAGGGCGAGACGGGGCUGUUCGCAGGCGCCGCUUCAAAGAGCAGACGUAAGCGCUGCGCAUGGCACAUAAACGUUGCUCCGGCUUCCUUCAAGUCGUAAAAUUGUGGCAUUGUGAAAGUUCAUCAAGUCCGUGAAUUGCGGGAGAAAACUGGCUUACCGUAUCUCUUUAUCCUCUCUGCAUCGACAACUGAAUCUGCAUUUGUCAUCUAAACAGGAAAGACUUUAGGACAGUGCAGGGCACGAAUUUUCGAAAUACACGGCCAGAUAUGCCGGCGAUUCUUCA